UACGUAGGGCGCAAGCGUUGUCCGGAAUUAUUGGGCGUAAAGAGCUCGUAGGCGGUUUGUCGCGUCUGUCGUGAAAGCCCACGGCUUAACUGUGGGUCUGCGUCCGAUACUGGCAGGCUUGAAUCCGGGAGAGGGAUGUGGAAUUCCAGGUGUAGCGGUGAAAUGCGUAGAUAUCUGGAGGAACACCGGUGGCGAAGGCGACAUCCUGGACCGGUAUUGACGCUGAGGCGCGAAAAGCCAGGGGAGCAAACGGGG
This 255-nucleotide ribosomal RNA is filed under the name uncultured bacterium. RNAcentral describes it as "partial 16S ribosomal RNA". It matches the Rfam family "Bacterial small subunit ribosomal RNA", at positions 524 to 777 of the family's 1533-position model. The record is from RNAcentral.